UACAGAGGUCCCAAGCGUUGUUCGGAUUCACUGGGCGUAAAGGGUGCGCAGGUGGGUUUGCAAGUUCGAUGUGAAAGCCCCGGGCUUAACCCGGGAAUGGCAUUGGAUACUGCAGAUCUGGAGGAUCGGAGGGGGGACUGGAAUUCUUGGUGUAGCAGUGAAAUGCGUAGAUAUCAAGAGGAACACCAGUGGCGAAGGCGAGUCCCUGGACGAUACCUGACACUGAGGCACGAAAGCCGGGGGAGCAAACAGG
This 253-nucleotide ribosomal RNA is filed under the name uncultured bacterium. Its description in RNAcentral is "partial 16S ribosomal RNA". It matches the Rfam family "Bacterial small subunit ribosomal RNA", at positions 524 to 776 of the family's 1533-position model. The record is from RNAcentral.